This 228-nucleotide ribosomal RNA is filed under the name uncultured bacterium. RNAcentral describes it as "partial 16S ribosomal RNA". It matches the Rfam family "Bacterial small subunit ribosomal RNA", at positions 568 to 795 of the family's 1533-position model. The record is from RNAcentral.
CACGUAGGCGGCCUGGUAAGUCAGAUGUGAAAGCCCGGGGCUUAACCCCGGAAGUGCAUUUGAUACUGUCAGGCUUGAGUAUGGGAAAGGGAAGUGGAAUUCCUGGUGUAGAGGUGAAAUUCGUAGAUAUCAGGAGGAACACCGGUGGCGAAGGCGACUUCCUGGACCAAUACUGACGCUGAGGUGCGAAGGCGUGGGUAGCAAACAGGAUUAGAUACCCUGGUAGUC